UCGUUGUAGCAAUACGAUGGAAAGUUUAGUGGCGAACGGGUGCUUAACACGUGGGCAACCUGCCAGGAAGUGGGGGAUAGCUCGCCGAAAGGCGAAUUAAUACCGCAUGUGGUUAGAGAGGACAUCCUUUCGAAAUUAAAGUCGGGGCAACCUGACGCUUUUUGUGGGGCCCGCGGCCUAUCAGCUAGUUGGUGAGGUAACGGCCCACCAAGGCUUUGACGGGUAGCUGGUCUGAGAGGACGACCAGCCACACUGGGACUGAGACACGGCCCAGACACCUACGGGUGGCAGCAGUCGAGAAUUUUUGACAAUGGGGGAAACCCUGAUCGAGCGACGCCGCGUGGAGGAUGAGGGUCUUCGGAUUGUAAACUCCUGUCAUUGGGGAACAAUGCACAGAUAUUAACUGUAUUUGUGUUGAUAGUACCCGAAGAGGAAGAGACGGCUAACUCUGUGCCAGCAGCCGCGGUAAUACAGAGGUCUCAAGCGUUGUUCGGAUUCAUUGGGCGUAAAGGGUGCGUAGGCGGCGCGGUAAGUCGGGUGUGAAAUCUUGGAGCUUAACUCCGAAGCUGCAUUCGAUACUGCCGUGCUUGAGGACUGGAGAGGAGACUGGAAUUCACGGUGUAGCA
This 626-nucleotide ribosomal RNA is filed under the name uncultured Verrucomicrobiota bacterium. RNAcentral describes it as "bacterial SSU rRNA". It matches the Rfam family "Bacterial small subunit ribosomal RNA", at positions 71 to 680 of the family's 1533-position model. Lineage: Bacteria; Pseudomonadati; Verrucomicrobiota. The record is from RNAcentral.